GAGCGCAGCACAUUUUGCGAUCGUAAGCCGUUGUGACAGCAUCCAUGAGAUUUAUUUACCACGUUUGACCUCGGAUCAGGUAGGGAUACCCGCUGAACUUAAGCAUAUCAAUAAG
This 115-nucleotide ribosomal RNA is filed under the name Edenia gomezpompae. RNAcentral describes it as "partial 28S ribosomal RNA". The record is from RNAcentral. Lineage: Eukaryota; Fungi; Ascomycota; Dothideomycetes; Pleosporales; Pleosporaceae.